GAUGAACGCUGGCGGCGUGCCUAAUACAUGCAAGUCGAGCGAACGGACGAGAAGCUUGCUUCUCUGAUGUUAGCGGCGGACGGGGGAGUAACACGUGGAUAACCUACCUAUAAGACUGGGAUAACUUCGGGAAACCGUAGCUAAUACCGGAUAAUAUUUUGAACCGCAUGGUUCAAAAGUGAAAGACGGUCUUGCUGUCACUUAUAGAUGGAUCCGCGCUGCAUUAGCUAGUUGGUAAGGUAACGGCUUACCAAGGCAACGAUGCAUAGCCGACCUGAGAGGGUGAUCGGCCACACUGGAACUGAGACACGGUCCAGACUCCUACGGGAGGCAGCAGUAGGGAAUCUUCCGCAAUGGGCGAAAGCCUGACGGAGCAACGCCGCGUGAGUGAUGAAGGUCUUCGGAUCGUAAAACUCUGUUAUUAGGGAAGAACAUAUGUGUAAGUAACUGUGCACAUCUUGACGGUACCUAAUCAGAAAGCCACGGCUAACUACGU
This 496-nucleotide ribosomal RNA is filed under the name uncultured bacterium. Its description in RNAcentral is "partial 16S ribosomal RNA". It matches the Rfam family "Bacterial small subunit ribosomal RNA", at positions 28 to 506 of the family's 1533-position model. The record is from RNAcentral.